UACGGGGGGGGCAAGCGUUGUUCGGAAUUACUGGGCGUAAAGGGCUCGUAGGUGGCCAACUAAGUCAGACGUGAAAUCCCUCGGCUUAACCGGGGAACUGCGUCUGAUACUGGAUGGCUUGAGUUUGGGAGAGGGACGCGGAAUUCCAGGUGUAGCGGUGAAAUGCGUAGAGAUGUGGAGGAACACCUGUGGCGAAAGCGGCUCUCUGGAACGGUACUGACGCUGAGACGCGAAAGCGUGGGGAGCGAACAGG
This 253-nucleotide ribosomal RNA is filed under the name uncultured bacterium. RNAcentral's name for it is "partial 16S ribosomal RNA". It matches the Rfam family "Bacterial small subunit ribosomal RNA", at positions 524 to 776 of the family's 1533-position model. The record is from RNAcentral.